RNAcentral lists this ribosomal RNA (468 nucleotides) under uncultured bacterium. RNAcentral's name for it is "partial 16S ribosomal RNA". It matches the Rfam family "Bacterial small subunit ribosomal RNA", at positions 28 to 507 of the family's 1533-position model. The record is from RNAcentral.
GACGAACGCUGGCGGCGUGCUUAACACAUGCAAGUCGAACGGAAAGGCCCUGCUUUUGUGGGGUGCUCGAGUGGCGAACGGGUGAGUAACACGUGAGUAACCUGCCCUUGACUUUGGGAUAACUUCAGGAAACUGGGGCUAAUACCGGAUAGGAGCUCCUGCUGCAUGGUGGGGGUUGGAAAGUUUCGGCGGUUGGGGAUGGACUCGCGGCUUAUCAGCUUGUUGGUGGGGUAGUGGCUUACCAAGGCUUUGACGGGUAGCCGGCCUGAGAGGGUGGCCAGCCACAUUGGGAGUGAGAUACGGCCCAGACUCCUACGGGAGGCAGCAGUGGGGAAUAUUGCACAAUGGGCGGAAGCCUGAUGCAGCAACGCCGCGUGCGGGAUGACGGCCUUCGGGUUGUAAACCGCUUUCGCCUGUGACGAAGCGUGAGUGACGGUAAUGGGUAAAGAAGCACCGGCUAACUACGUG